AUGUUGGCUUAGAAGCAGCCAUUCAUUUAAAGAGUGCGUAACAGCUCACUAGUCAAGAGAUCUUGCGUGGAAAAUGUAACGGGGCUAAACGUAAUACCGAAGCUUUGGAUUUGCAAUUUAUUGCAAGUGGUAGAGGAGCGUUCCUAUCUGCGGUGAAGCAGUUUUGGAAAGAAUUGUGGAGCGUUAGGAAGUGAGAAUGCUGGAAUGAGUAACCAUAAGAUAGGUGAGAAUCCUGUCGGCCGUAAGAGCAAGGUUUCCUGAGCCAUGGUAAUCAUCUCAGGGUUAGUCGGGCCUAAGCCGAGGCGCAUAGCGUAGGCGAUGGACAUCAGGUUAAUAUUCCUGAACCGGUUAAGUUUUGUACACUGUUCACGGAGAGAUAUUUAGAGCGGAUUCAUGGUUUUUAUCCGUCCAACCGAGGGGGAACCCAAAGGGAGUGAAAGUUACCUUUUAGGUGACGAUUCUGAAAAAGGCUCUGGCUAGAAAAGCAGAUGUACGUAUGGACUUAGCCGCCCGUACCGCAAACCAACACAGGUGCUCGAGUCGAGUAGACUCAGGCUUACGAGAGAACCCUCGCUAAGGAACUCGGCAAUACAGCGACCGUAACUUCGGAAUAAGGUCUGCCCCCCAUUUCGGUGGGUAUAUUGUCAGGUUUAAGCGAAUGAAUAGAGAACGGUUAAAUUAAAUGAGUAUACCUUUUAUAAUUUUAACGAAACUUCUUACUGAGAUAGUCAACAAGAUUAAAUUCUAAGCUUAAAACUGAGACUCAAUGUAUCUAACGAUAUGGGGGGCCGCAGCUAAAGAGCCCACGGAACUGUUUAUCAAAAACACAGCUCUCUGCUAACACGAAAGUGGAUGUAUAGGGGGUGACUCCUGCCCGGUGCUGGAAGGUUAAGGGGAGUGCUUCACGGUACGAACUGAAGCCCCAGUGAACGGCGGCGGUAACUAUAACCGUCCUAAGGUAGCGAAAUUCCUUGUCAGGUAAGUUCUGACCCGCACGAAUGGAGUAAUCAUGUGGGCACUGUCUCAGCGAGGGCCUCGGUGAAAGUGCAUUGGCGGUAAAGAUGCCGUCUGUCCAUACCAGGACGAGAAGACCCCAUGGAGCUUUACUACAGUUUUACAUUGACCCGGGUUUCAACAUGUGUAGCAUAGUUGGGAGGCUUCGAAGCAGAUACGCUAGUAUUUGUGGAGCCGCAACGUGAAAUACCAACCUUGUUGUGAUCUUGGUCUCACGUUUACCGUUAUCCGGUAAGCGGACCGUGUAUGAUGGGUAGUUUAACUGGGGCGGUUGCCUCCUAAAGAGUAGCGGAGGCGUUCAAAGGUUGGCUAACUUCGGAUGGAAAUCGAAGUGAUAGUGUAUGCGCAUAAGCCAGCUUGACUGUGAGGAUUACAAUCCAAUCAGAGACGAAAGUCGGAGCAAGUGACCCGCUGUAUAGUACUUUGUACGAUGAAUGUGGGAUCGACAGCGCACACGGAUAAAAGUUACCCUGGGGAUAACAGGCUUAUAGCGCCCAAUAGUUCACAUAGACGGCGCUGUUUGGCACCUCGAUGUCGGCUCAUCUCAUCCUGGGGCUGGAGCAGGUCCCAAGG
This 1587-nucleotide ribosomal RNA is filed under the name bioreactor sludge metagenome. RNAcentral's name for it is "bacterial LSU rRNA". It matches the Rfam family "Bacterial large subunit ribosomal RNA", at positions 1098 to 2570 of the family's 2925-position model. The record is from RNAcentral.